GGCUCCACAGGGCUCCAUCCUCAGCCUGGUUCUCUUCAGCAUCUUGGCUAGUGACCUGGAUGCAGGACUUGAAGGAGUACCAACCUUCAACCACGAUGGUUCUAGUAAGAAGGGAAAGGAAGAUGUGUCACAUUACCUCAUGCAGAGGCACUUUUCACUAGACUUGGUUGCUCAGAGCUCCAUCCAGCCGGGCCAUAAAUAUUUCCAGGAUGGGGCAUCCACACCCUCUCUGGACGACCUCAUCCAGUGCCUCUCCAUCCUCACAUUUUACUGCAAGAAAAUUGUGAUUGUUACUGCUGCUUACAUGUGGAAAGAUGAAUAGGCCGCCUUGCAGUGAGAGAGUGAUAGCUGAUUUGUAACAUUUUAAUCAAAAAGUCUGCAAAAUGAACCAGGCACCAAAUCUUCACUAGGAUCCCGAGGAGCCACAGCAUGUAAAAAUCCCUGUCUCUUAUGGAGAUCAGAGGCUGUGGAGGUUAAGGCUGCAUCAUCCCUGGUACCCCAAAAGAUAUCUAUCACUCUGACACCCUGAGGUUCAGGAGAGCUUGGUCAGCUCUUCACUCAACAUUUGUAAGCGCUUAGCACUAGCAUUCCUAGUACCAAUUCAAGUAAAUAUACUACUCUUCUAUUAAUAA
Cyanistes caeruleus (blue tit) is the source of this 632-nucleotide long non-coding RNA. RefSeq lists it as uncharacterized. The record is from RefSeq and is a predicted model, not a curated record. NCBI's taxonomy places the organism in Eukaryota, Metazoa, Chordata, Aves, Passeriformes, Paridae.